RNAcentral lists this transfer RNA (65 nucleotides) under Dipodomys ordii (Ord's kangaroo rat). It matches the Rfam family "tRNA". From Rfam's summary of the family: Transfer RNA (tRNA) molecules are approximately 80 nucleotides in length. Their secondary structure includes four short double-helical elements and three loops (D, anti-codon, and T loops). Lineage: Eukaryota; Metazoa; Chordata; Mammalia; Rodentia; Heteromyidae. The record is from Rfam by way of RNAcentral.
GGUGGCUCAGUGGUAGAGCGCUUGCCUUACAUGCUGGAGGCCCUGGGUUCGAUUCCUCAGCACCA